Long non-coding RNA from Pan troglodytes (chimpanzee), 11540 nucleotides. RefSeq lists it as uncharacterized. NCBI's taxonomy places the organism in Eukaryota, Metazoa, Chordata, Mammalia, Primates, Hominidae. The transcript has 4 exons. The record is from RefSeq and is a predicted model, not a curated record.
GGCUCCCGCUGGGCACUAGGCGGUGCCGGGCCUGACUCAUCCCCAGGGCCUGGCCAAUACAUGGGGCCCCUGCUGGUGCCCUUCCGACCUUCAGUCUUCACUUCGUAUUUCUAUACUUAUGUUUAUUCUAAAAGUAAUGCAAAUUUGGUUACAAAACAUCUGGAAAGAGAGAAGAGAAAACUAGCUGAACACAAGCAAGCUUAGCAUCUUCGGGGAAUUUACUGCUAAUCCCUUACCCUGAUGAGGCACUUUUAUUCAGCUGUAAUUGGUGUGUAGAGUUGGGAAACUUGCUCUUCCAUCAAGCCCCAGACUCCACACAGACUAGACAGGCUGUGCACACUUGAACAGGCUCUAUGCACACCUGCAUAAGGUCUAUGCUCACCUGGAUGGGCUCCAUGCACACCUGGACAGGAUCCAGGUCAUCUGAGCAGGCUCCGUGCACACCUGAAGAGUCUUUACACACAUCUGGAAGGACUCUGGACUGACCUGAAUGGGCUCCAUGCACACCUGAAGAGUCUUUACACACAUCUGGAGGGACUCUGGACUGACCUGAAUGGGCUCCAUGCACACCUGAAGAGUCUUUACACACAUCUGGAAGGACUCUGGACUGACCUGAAUGGGCUCCAUGCACACCUGAAGAGUCUUUACACACAUCUGGAGGGACUCUGGACUGACCUGAAUGGGCUCCAUGCACACCUGGACAGGCUCCACACACACCUGGACAGGAUCCAUGCACACCUGGACAGGAUCCAUGUCACCUGAAGAGUCUUUACACACAUCUGGAAGGACUCUGCACUGGCGUGAACGGGCUCCAUGUACACCUGGAUAGGCUGAUACCCACCUGAACAGGCUCCAUGCAGACCCGAAGUCUUCACACACGCCCGACUGGAUUCCACACACACCUGGACAGUCUCCACACACCUGAACAGGUGCAGACCUGCAGGGGCCCCUCUUGGUGGAUGUGCCACCAUUUACUGAGCUUUCCCUAGGGAGGAGUUUUAACUUGUUCCUCUCCUUUCAUGAGUUUAAAUAACACUGUGAUGAGCUUGACUGGGCCUGAGGUUCUUGGAACGGACUCUGGGGAAGAGAUGGGCUGAGGUUCAUGGAGGUGCUAUUGGGAGCAGCCUCUGAGGGGAGGCCUUGAGCUGACCCAUGUCCAGCAGUGGCUCUGCCCAUCUGUGGGGAGGGCUGCAGCUGGGCUGGCCCUCAGAGUUGUCCUGAAUGGCGGGGUUGGGCCAGACCUCCAUGGAUGGCUACUGAAGCCCGCUGCCCCUGGCAGGUCCAUGACCUCAGGCAGGUGGAGAACAUUCCCAGAAAGUACUGUGAGUGCAGCAGCUGAGGAUCCCGGGGGCGGGCAGGGGUGGCUUCACAGAGCACCAUACAACUCCAGUUUGGAUUUUCUUUACAACAGACCCUUUAAGGGUGGUGGUUACCAGAGCAGGACUUGGGGGCAGCUGCUUAAGUCUGACUCCCGCACUGCUGCUGUGUGACCUUGGGCAAAUCUCCUCACCUCUCUGGGUUCCAGUCUUCCUUGUCAAGUGGAAUAAGAUCUUUACUAGCAAAGCAAUCAGGUAUUGCUCAUAGAAGCAGUGGGGCAGCCUGGUACCCAGAUCUGAGAGUGGCUGCCCUGGCCUGGCUCCUCCUGCAGCCUGCCCAGUGCUCAGGGCUCCUCAGGGGCCAGCGAGGACCGUCUUUGCCCACUGGGAGGAGAGCUGGCCAUCACAGUGGCACAAAACCAUCAGGAACAGGUGACUCAGCUGCCAGCAUGGGAGGCCUUUCCAGGGGCUAGGGCCGCAGUAGGUGGGGCUGGUAACGGCUCACAGAGGCCGUCACCCCCAUUAUCUAUGUCCAGCCACUAGCACUGGGUGAAACGUGCCACCUCCCCAACCCUAAAAAGACACAUCCGCCUGGAACCUGUGAAUGGGGCCAUAUUGGAAGGGGCUUUGUGCCUGGAACCUAUGAAUGGGCUGUAUUGGAAAGAGCUUUGCACCUGGAACCUAUGAAUGGGGCUGUAUUGGAAAGGGCUUUGCAGCUGGAACCUAUGAAUGGGGCCGUAUUGGAAAGAGCUUUGCACCUGGAACCUAUGAAUGGGGCUGUAUUGGAAAGGGCUUUGCAGCUGGAACCUAUGAAUGGGGCCGUAUUGGAAAGAGCUUUGCACCUGGAACCUAUGAAUGGGGCCGUAUUGGAAAGGGCUUUGCGGCUGGAACCUAUGAAUGGGGCCGUAUUGGAAAGGGCUUUGCGGCUGGAACCUAUGAAUGGGGCCGUAUUGGAAAGGGCUUUGCGGCUGGAACCUGUGAAUGGGGCCGUAUUGGAAAGGGCUUUGCGGCUGGAACCUGUGAAUGGGGCCGUACUGGAAAGGGCUUUGCGGCUGGAACCUGUGAAUGGGGCCGUACUGGAAAGGGCUUUGCGGCUGGAACCUGUGAAUGGGGCCGUACUGGAAAGGGCUUUGCGGCUGGAACCUGUGAAUGGGGCCGUACUGGAAAGGGCUUUGCGGCUGGAACCUGUGAAUGGGGCCGUACUGGAAAGGGCUUUGCGGCUGGAACCUGUGAAUGGGGCCGUACUGGAAAGGGCUUUGCGGCUGGAACCUGUGAAUGGGGCCGUACUGGAAAGGGCUUUGCGGCUGGAACCUGUGAAUGGGGCCGUACUGGAAAGGGCUUUGCGGCUGGAACCUGUGAAUGGGGCCGUACUGGAAAGGGCUUUGCGGCUGGAACCUGUGAAUGGGGCCGUACUGGAAAGGGCUUUGCGGCUGGAACCUGUGAAUGGGGCCGUAUUGGAAAGGGCUUUGCGGCUGGAACCUGUGAAUGGGGCCGUACUGGAAAGGGCUUUGCGGCUGGAACCUGUGAAUGGGGCCGUACUGGAAAGGGCUUUGCGGCUGUAAUCAGGUGAAGGCUCUCAGGAUAAGCUCGUCCUGGGUUACCUGGCCAGUGCCCCUGGAGAGGGCCCUGUGAAGACAAAGGCAGAUGGGAGGGAGGCACACAAACCAGGGGUGCAUGGCCGCCAUCAGAAGGAAAGAGGCAGGAAGGACCGUCCCCUGAAGCCUUGGGAAGGAGCCCUGCCCACACCUGGGUUUCAGACAUCUGGCCUCUGGCACUCCUGGGGAGCGAAUGUGCCUUCCUGCCUGUUGAGAGUGUGACUUUCGGCCCCGACGUUCCCCAGACAUGACUGAGUCAGCUGUUCACACUAGGAAGCAUGAUGAUAACCCAAGCGAGCAGCUCAGGGAUCAGGACCUGAGGUUUUCAGCACAAACGACAAGAGGUUCAAGUAGAAAAGCAGAAGCGGAACAUGCAAUAUGCAGCCCGUGCCUGGCUUCCCUCACUCAGCUUGACGAAAUCACGGAGCAGAUUGUUCUCAAGGAGGCCUCCGUGGUGUUUUCCGGAGCUCCUCUGCCAGGUCUCCCGUCGCGGCAGGGUCCACGUCGCCCCUCCCCUUGGCUCUGGGUUGGCCUUGUCACCAACGUAGGUGAUGGGGCCACAUGGUGCCACCUGCUCCCUCUGCACACCUCUGGGCCCACCAGGUCCUAGUGGGCAGGCAUCUGCUGCGGGGGCUCUGGUGUGGGUGGAAACACUGGGUCCCCCCAGGCUCCUCCUCAUCCCCUGCUCCCAACUUCUUCCUCCGUCCCCCAACAGCCCUCAGAGCUCAAGGGAGGGGGCAUUGACAAAGGGUCUCCACCAGCCUGGUCCUCUUAGCUUUUCUGGUCUAUGAGCUUAGGCAAAAUGGCCAGGCAGGCCCCAGGCCAGCUCAGCCCAGCUUAGCCCAGUCCACUCUAGCUUAGUUCAGCCUAGCCCAGUGCAACCCUGUUCACCUCAGUUCAGCCCAGCCAAGCUCAUCCCAGCCCACCUCAGUCCAGCCCAGCACAGCCCAACCCAGCCCAGGUUAGCCCAGCCAAGCCUAGUUCAACCCAGUUCAGCCCAGCCCAGCCUAGCUCAGCCCAGCCAAGCUCAGCCCAGUUCAGCUCAGCCCAGCUCAGCCCAGCCAAGCUCAGCCCAGCUCAGCCUAGGCCAGUCUAGCUCAGCCCAGCCCAGCUCAGCCCAGCCCAGCUCAGCCUAGUCCAGACUAGCUCAGCCCAGCCCAGCCCAGCUCAGCCUAGCUCAGCCAAGUUCAGCCCAGCUCCUGCCCAUCCCAGCUUAGCCCUGCCCAGUUCAGCCCAGCCCAGCCCAACUCAGCCCAGCCCAGCUCAGCUCAGCUCAGCCCAGCCCAGCCCAGCCCAACUCAGCCCAGCCCAGCCCAGCCCAGCUCAGCCCAGCAUGGCCCAGCCCAGGUUAGCCCAGCCAAGCCUGGUUCAACCCAGUUCAGGCCAGCCCAGCCCAGCUCAGCCCAGCCCAGCCCAGCCCAGCCCUGCCCAGCCCAGCUCAGCCCAGCACAGCCCAGCCCAGCCCAGGCUAGCCCAGGUUAGCCCAGGUUAGCCCAGCCAAGCCUAGUUCAACCCAGUUCAGCCCAGCCCAGCCCAGGUGAGCCCAGCCAAGCCUGGUUCAACCCAGUUCAGCCCAGCCCAGCCUAGCUCAGCCCAGCCCAGUCCAGCCAGCCCAGCUCCAGGUCCAUGACUUCUAAAGCAGGAUGUGCUUUGUGGGUUCAAGCUUGUGGCAUUUGGGGAAUCACAUAUGGGGGCCUCGAGGCAGAGCAGAGAGGACUUGCAGGACUGUGCAGCUGACAGGAUUUGACAUAGAGACAACUGUGGAAACCCGAGUGUGGAAGGCUUGACUCUGGGUCUCAGCAGCCACCUGCUGGGCAGAUUACACCAGCAGCGCCCCACCGUGGGGCCAGGCGCAGGUCACGGCCAGUGCUGGGAUGUCCUGCAAAAAAUCCGGGUUGACCACACACCACCCAGGUCAGCACGUGGUCCCCAUGGUUGCUGGAGGCAGCUCAGGCUCCAGAGCACUGACUAUGUGCAUCGCUCUCGCUCCACGUUCUAAGCCCUGACACCAAUGGUUUGCAACCAGCCACGGUGGGAGUGUGUGCGGAUGCUGCAGACCAGCCCUGCCCCUUCUGAGAGUCCCUUGUUAAGCAAUUACCAGCACAUUGCUGACUGGCCGAGUCACUAACAUACUAGGGUAUUUUGAUGUUCCCCCCAGAGGACUCUCUGCCCCAUUCCUGUCCAUGCUGGGGUACUGGUUGGCACAGGGGAAGGUGGCACCCAGCUGUGGGCUGCAGGUGGUACAGAAGCCUGUGCUCCCCCCGAGGAGCUGGAGUUGGAGCUGGCCACGUGUGGCAUCAUCUGUUGGAAGGCACUGGAGACCUUGACUAGGAGCAGCCCCUGAGUGGCCUGACUGCUGGACCAGCUGCAAGCUGAGUCCUAGCCCUCGAGGAGUGGGGCUCCCACCAUCCAGGACCUGGCGCCCGCAUCUGCAGAGGGCUGGGCUCCAUGCUGGGGCCAGAACACAGGGAGCAUGAAGGACUCAGAGACCCGCCUGCGGCCAUAGCACAGGGCAGCCAGCAGGGGACAGCUGGGCCGAGGGGGUGCCGGACGCAGGUGCCAGCCGCCCAGCAGGGCCCUCUUUCUGUCCUCUAUUCAAGGUGGCAGUCUGAAAGACCCCCCGGCCCAGACAGCCCUCUGUGAUCUGUGAAGUGAGCAGAGCUGCAUGUGCUGCUCAUCCUUCACCCCUUCAUUCAUUCACUUGGAAGCACCCAGUGAGCACUGUGAAGUCGUGGGCGCUGGUCCAGUGGUGACCGAGGGCAGUGGUGGGUGCCGGGUCCAGUGGUGACCGAGGGCAGUGGCGGGUGUCGGGUCCAGUGGUGACCGAGGGCAGUGGUGGGCAACGUGUCCAGUGGUGACCGAGAGCAGUGGUGGGCGACGUGUCCAGUGGUGACCGAGGGCAGUGGUGGGCGACGUGUCCAGUGGCGACCGAGGGCAGUGGUGGGUGCUGGGUCCAGUGGUGACCGAGGGUGUCAGUCCUCAGGGAGUCACAGUUAGCUGUGGGGACACAGUGGUGUAUGCCAGGUCCAGUGGUGACCGAGGGCAGUGGUGGGCGCUGGUCCAGUGGUGACAAAGGGUACUCGUCUUCAGGGACUCACAGCUGGGGGGGCACCAAUGAGCAAAGAAAGAAGAAAGAACAAAAGGAAGAUGGGUGGGUGCAGCACAUGCUGCUGGGGCCAGGAGGAGCCUCACCCUGUUGUUCCAGGCCCGGCACCCCCAGCCUGUUCCGGGAAAACUGUCUGGCAAGGCAGGCCUGACCUUGCCCAGGCCACGCUGGCCCCUCUCCCUCUGAACCUCGUGGCUCAUGGCCCAGGACCCGAUGGCAGCGAGCCCAUGGGGGUGAGCCUGGGAAGGAUGCUCUGUGUGGAUGGGGAGUGGCAGGGGCAGGAUUGUGGUCUGGGCUUAGGAGGGGGAGUCCUGCGUGCCCCGGGGAGGCUGACUUUUCGGCAUUAGAAGGAAAUUUGCCUUGAAAAAGAACCUGGGACAGCGCCUGAAAGACACAACUGGGAGGGUCCGAGGCUGGCCAACCCCAGAACUGAGUUCUUGGCCAGCUGCCCAGGGCACCUGGCUUGGUAGGAGGCUGGAGAGGCACUAGAGCCCGCUGAGGAUGUCCGGCCCUCGCACUCUCCGGCUGCCCUGGGUGCACCCACCCGCCACGUGCAGACUUCUCAGCACCCCUCAAGCCUGCCUGAUUCCCCUGCUGGGAAGAGCACACCAGCACUCCUGACCUGGAGCUGUCCUUCUCAGCACGUGGUCUCAGAGAGCGGGCGGUGGGCGAGACCAUGCGGGGGUCGUUGGGUAUAAAAUGGAUUGAUCUUGAGCUGUGGUUCAUCUCCGUGAGCACCAGAGCAUGGAGCUAAAAGAUGGCUUCAUCUACGGAGGACAAAAUUUACUUUCAAUAUCUCACUUUAUGGGGGAUAUGAACUGUGAGUUGAGGAGCCAAGACCAGCAUGCUAAAAAUCUUCCAAGCUGUUUCAUUUUCUUAUCUCCAAGGAACCGGUGAGAAUAUGUGGGUAAGUAUUGGAAUCUGACACGUACAGCUCACAGGCAGAUGGGGUCCUUCAAGGUGGUUUAGACGCGUCCUCUGGGCUGGCAGCAAAUCACUUCUGGGCUCCACUGUUUGCCACCUUUGCUGUGGAACACAGCAGAACCUGCAGCAUCUGGGCUGGGAUUGGACUUCAGAGGGUGCACAUGCGGUUUUUGUGGGCAGUUUUUCUCAGUGGCCUUUUUAUUGAGGAAUAAUAUACAUACGGAAAGGUUCCCAAAUCAUAGAUGUAUGGCUUGAUGCAUUUUAAAAAGUGGACACACCCUGAAACUUCCAUCCAGACAAAGAGACAUGGUGUUUGCAGCACCCCCUCUCGCAGGCCCCCUUAGAGGGAACCGCUAUUCUGACUUUCAUGACCAUGAAUGAGGUUUGCCUGGGUUUGAACUUUACAUACAUGAAAUCGUAAGCUAUGGACCCUUUAGUGUCUGGCUUCUUUCGCUCAAGUUAGAUUUGUGAGAUUCGUCUAGAUCAUUAUGGGCAGAAAUUCUUUCUUUCUCCAUGGCUGUCUUCGAUGGUCUGAGUACACUUCUUUUUAAACAAAUUUAAUUUAAUUUUAAGUUCCGGUAUCCGUGUGUGGGACGUGCAGGUUUGUUACAUAGGUAAAUGUGUGCCAUGGUGGUUUGCUGCACCCAUCAGCCCAUCACCCAGGUAUUAAGCCCAGCACACAUUCGCUAUUUAUCCUGCUUGAGGGUCUCUCUCUUCUCACGCAUGAACAGCGUUGUUCUUUUGCAUAGUUCAGGGCUGUGGGGCAUAGUGCGGCCCCGCGUUCAUGUGCGCAUCUCGCGGUGAACACAGGCAGGCGUUGGGCAUAAAUCCAACCAUCACACAUGCAUUGCAAAUACCUAUUCACAGUUUCUGGCUUAGUUUUAAUUCUCUUAACAGUGUCCCUUGAUAAACAGGCAUUCUUAACUUUAACAAAGUCCAAAGUUUCCAUCUUUCCAUUAGUCUUCAGAAAAAUGAGUAGCAUUUAACAAUUCUAUUUUCUAUUUGUGUUACUGGUAUAUUGGGAUACAAUGUUUCAUGCUAACCACAUAUCUUGUGUCUUGCUAAAUUCUCAUAUUAACUGUAAUAAUUUAGCCGUAGAUUCUUUUGGAUUUUCUACAUGCACAAUUGUGUUACCUGUAACUAAUUACAGUUUCAUUUCUUUAUUUCCAGUCCCAUACUUUUGCUUUCCUUUCCUACCUUCUCAUCCUGGCCUGGGCCUCCACCACCACAUUUGACAGAAAUGAAAAUAGCAGACUCUUGUCUCAUUCCUGACAUCAGAGGAAAACUUUUGACAUUUUAUCAGGAAGUGUGUUGGCUGUAGGCUUUAGGCUUUUUGAUGAUACUCUGUAUCAUAUUAAGAAAGUUACUUUCUCAGACUUUUACUUUUACUUUUACAGCCUGGGCAACAGAGCAAGACUCCAUCUCACACACAGACACAAAAAGUUAUUUUCUCGGACUUUUUAUCCUGAAGAGUGUUGAAUUUUAUCAAUGCUUUUCCUGAAUUUACUGAGAUUAUUAAAUGGUUUUUCUUUUUUAUUCUUUUAAUGUAGUGCAUUACAUUUGUUGAUUUUCAAAUAUUAAACUAACUCUUUAUUUUUGUAAUGAACCCAAUUUGGUUGUGAUGUUUUACCUACUUUAUAUUUCUGGAUUUAAUUUUCUAAUAUUUUGAUGAGAGUUUUGUGCCUAUGUUCACAAGACAGAUUAACCUAUGAUACUCAUUUUUUAUAGUUUUCUUCUCAAGUUUUAGGAUGAAUUAAUAAUGGUCUCAUAAAAUGAAUUGGGGGGUGUAUUAGUCCAUUUUCACACUGCUGUAAUGAAAUAUCUGAGACUGGGUAAUUUAUAAAGGAAAGAGGUUUGAUUGACUCACAGUUCCACAUGGCUGGGGAGGCCUCUGGAAAUUUAUGAUUGUGGCAGAAGGGGAAGAGGCACAUCUUGCACGGCGGCAGGCGAGAGAGAGCAUGCGAAGGGAGCUAAGGCGGAAGAGUCUCUUACAAAACUAUCAGCUCUCAUGAGAACAACCUCACUAGCAUGAGAACAGCAUGGGGGGAAGCUGCCCCCAUAAUCCAAUCGCCUCCCACCAGGUUCCUCCCUCAACACCUGGGGAUUACAAUUUAAGAUGAGAUUUGGGUGAGGACACAAAGCCAAACCAUAACAAGGGAUAUUUCUUUUUUUCCUGUUUUCUGGAAGAAUUUUAUAAGAUUUGUGUUAGUUCAUCUUUAAAUAUUUGAAAAUAUUUAUCUUAAGUGUUCUGGGCCUACAGUUUUUUUGUGGAAAGGUUUAAAAUUAAUGAUUCAAUUAAUUUAUUUAUUAUGCAUAGGACUACUUACAUACUCUAUUUCUUCUUGUGUCUCUUGUUAUAUUUGUUUUUCUAAGAAUGUGUCCAUUUCAUUUGACUUAUUGAUUUGUUUGGCAGAAAGUCAUUUGCCAUACUUCAUAAUAUUUGUAAUGUCUGUGGGGUCUUUAGUAGUAAUCCCUUCUUAAUCUCUACUAUUGCCAGCAUGUGCCAUAUUAUUUUGUGUGUGUGUGUGUGUGUGUUUUUGAGAUGGAGUUUUGCUCUUGUCACCCAGGCCAGAGUGCAGUGGCAUGAUCUCAGCUCACUGCAAUCUCUGCUUCCCGGGUUCAAGUGAUUCUCCUGCCUCAGCCUCCCAAGUAGCUGGGAUUACGGGCACCAGCCACCACGCCUGGCUAAUUUUUGUAUUUUUAGUAGAGAUGAGGUUUCACCAUGUUGUCCAGGCUGGUCUUGAACUCCUGACCUCAGGUGAUCCACCCACCUCAGCCUCCCAAGUGCUGGGAUUACGGGCAUGAGCCACCAUGCCCGGCCUAUUUUGUGCUAUUUUUUAUUAGUCUUGGGCAGUCAAUAUUAUUAUUCUGUACAAAAACCCACCUUUCUAUUGACAUUUGUUUUAUUAAUUAUGUUCUCCUUUUAUCCCUGUUAGUUCCCUCUUUCUAUUUUCUUUGGGUUUAAUUUGCUCCUCUUUUUCUAAUGCUCCUACAAGGCUGUACUUAGAUUGUUGUUGCAAGUUUUUUCUUUCUAAGCACAAAAUUUCACUCUAAGCACAGUUUGAACUGGAUCCUACAAGUUUGAUAGGUUAUAUUUGUAUUAUCAGUCAAUGUAAAGAUUUUCUAAUUUCCAUUUAUGGUUCAUCUUCGACCCAUGGGUUAUGCAGAGGUAUAUUGUUUAAUUCCUAAACACUUGGAAGACUUUUUAGUUACUUUUAUCAGCAUCCAUUUCCAGCUUAAUUCUACUGUAGUCUGAGAACGUAUUCUGAAUUACUGCAGUCCUUUGAAAUGUAUUGGAACCAGCUCCUUGGCCCAGCACAGUGUCAGUUUUGGUCACCAUGUGGGCUUAAACAGGAGGUCAUGUUAGCAGAGGGACCAGACACACGAGUGUUGUGAGGAGGGUGCAUGCCAGGCCAUGCGCCUGGAGCGUGAGGAGCAGGGAAAGGGCGUGAACGCUGAGGUCAGAACACGUGGGGCGUGAGGAGCAGGGAAAGGGCAUGAACGCUGAGGUCAGAACAUGUGGGGUGUGAGGAGCAGGGAAAGGGCGUGAACGCUGAGGUCAGAACAUGUGGGGCCUUGCGGUCCGUGCUUCGACUUCUACUCUAAGAGGGAUUGGCAUCUGCUGUGGAUGCCAAAUGGAAGACGACAUGAUGUGACUUCAGGUUUACCAAGGCCACCUUGGCUUCUGUGUUGUGGGGGGAGCUUGGGGGCCACGUGACAGAAGGUGGUGGUGAUUCAGGCUGUGGAGAGAGUAGUGGAGACGACAGGCAUGUUCCAAUUCUGGAAACCUUUCAGGGGUGGAGCCAGGAGCAUUUGCUAAGAAAUUAGAAUUGGAGUAAUAAAGAAAUAGAGGAGCCAAAUGAUCUAGAAAUUAUCUAAAUUUGGUUUAAAUAACCACCGAAGCAAUUACCUUUCUUCUUUAAAAAAUUUUAACAUUGUCACCCAAAAUGUAAUUUCUACAACUUCUUCUUUUGGGGAGAAUAGUUUGAAGCAUGUUUUAAACAUUGAGAGAUAAAAUAUAUGAGAUAAAAGUGCCUUAAUCAAAAAUGUGCUGCUUAACAGAAAAUCAUAUGGCGGAUUCUUGUGUGGCCACCACCAGGUCCAGACUCACAGUUUUGACGGCAUCCAGGUGCACCCUCACCUUUUCUUAAUCCCAGAGGGACCCACAUCCUAACUUUUGUAUUAAAAUCAUAAUGAUUAGAAAAUAAGGAAGAAACAAAAUAACCUUUUCAGUAUGAUUUCAUUUAUAUAAAGUGAUUUUUUUGAAUUUAUUGAGAUGUUUGGUGUGAACGACUACAGAGUUAAUUUCUUUUUUAGAGAUGAGGUCUUGCUCUGUCAUCCAGGCUGGAGUGCAGUGGCACAAUCAUAGCUCACCAUAGCCUCAAACUCCAGAGCUUAAGCAAUCCUCCUGCCUUGGCCUCCCAGAGUGAUGGGAUUACAGGUGUGAGCCACUAUGCCUGGCCAAUGGUUAAUUUUUUAAAAGCAUAUGGGUGUUGGAAAAGAAGGUGUAUCCACUGCUUGCCGAGCACAAAGUAUAUUAAACAGUUGAACUAAAUAUAUGACAUCACGAAGUUUUACACAAUUGUAUGCAUAUUUUAA